This 222-nucleotide microRNA precursor is filed under the name Arabidopsis halleri subsp. gemmifera. Its description in RNAcentral is "pre miRNA MIR854". It matches the Rfam family "MIR854 microRNA precursor family". The record is from RNAcentral. Lineage: Eukaryota; Viridiplantae; Streptophyta; Magnoliopsida; Brassicales; Brassicaceae.
CGGGGAAGACUGGGAAGAGCCAUAUGAUACCAGUAUGUAUCAUUUCAGUGAGCAUGUGGCUCCAGGAAGAGAGAGAGUAAGAGCUUGAGUGAAGCUCACAGGAACCAGAGCCUGUUGCAGAAGUGGUGCAAAAAGCAGGACAGGUUCAUCGCCAAAUGUAUAAAGGGUAUGAAGUCUCUGAAAGCCAUAGUUAGCUGCUCCUCUUCCAGCACAGCAGUGCCA